AUGCGGGCAGAGGCCGGUGGGCUGGGUUUCCUCUUAAUUUCCGACUCUGACCGCUGCACCUCCCAAUUAUGGAAGAGGUUGACUGACUGUGAUGGUAUUGCUUCAUGGGCGCUUGCAAGAACUAUUCAACUUAACAAGCUACUUUCCCUGAAUCCAGAGGAGGAAGAGCGCAUAGUGAUGCUAGGGUUUGCUGAAAACAACAAUGUGUUGUUGCUGUGGACGGUUGUUGGCCUCUUCACAAUCCAUCUCGAGUCAUUAAAGUUCAAGAAGCUUUUCAAAACUAUGCAAAUUUCUCACUAUCAUCCAUUCGAAAGUGUCUACACUGAAGUAACAGGCAUUGGUGGUAGACAUGGUGCAUCUGAUCUUAUGCACAAUAAAUAA
Molecule: ribosomal RNA, 381 nt
Filed under: Triticum aestivum (bread wheat)
Lineage: Eukaryota; Viridiplantae; Streptophyta; Magnoliopsida; Poales; Poaceae
Description: partial small subunit ribosomal RNA
Source: RNAcentral